This 627-nucleotide ribosomal RNA is filed under the name Triticum aestivum (bread wheat). RNAcentral's name for it is "partial small subunit ribosomal RNA". Lineage: Eukaryota; Viridiplantae; Streptophyta; Magnoliopsida; Poales; Poaceae. The record is from RNAcentral.
AUGGCUGAGGCGAACUCGUACGAGGAGCAGCGCAGGAGGCAGGUGGAGGAGAACAAGCGGAAGCUGGAGGAGCUGCGCCUGCACCACCUCUCCGCCGCCGUCCGCGAGGCCGCCGUCAAGCCCAAGCUGAAGAGGAAGGCCCCGAAGCCGUGGGACGCCGCCGAUGACGCCCCGCCCCGGCGUUCCGGCCGUAUCGCCACCCUCCCCGAGCAGCCCGACUAUCGCGACAAUCUGGGCACCGGGAAACCACGGCAGCAGAAGGAAGUAAAGCCUGAUCAUGCGUACGCCAUCGCCAAGGCCGAAGAGCUACAGGAUGAGCUAGGCUCCGACUACCCGACCUUUGUCAAACCCAUGCCACAGUCUCUUACCUCGCUGCAUAUCCCGGCACAGUUCAGCAUGGAGCAUCUCCCGGACAAUGGCAUGAGAAUGGUUUUGGUGGAUGAGGAGGAGGAGGAGUUUAAGGUGAGCUAUCGUCCACACAGUAGCAGUCUUGUCGCCGGGUGGAGCGAGUUUGCCAUCGACAAUGAGCUAGUUGAAGGUGAUUGCUUGGUGUUCCAGCUGAUCAAGAGGGCAUUGUUCAAGGUCUACAUAUUCAGGGCAAGUUCGUACUAUGAAAAUGAGCAUUAA